RNAcentral lists this non-coding RNA (175 nucleotides) under Gallibacterium anatis. RNAcentral describes it as "6S RNA". It matches the Rfam family "6S / SsrS RNA". Rfam says of the family: E. coli 6S RNA was the first non coding RNA to be sequenced, but its function was unknown until recently. It consists of 184 nucleotides that fold into an extended hairpin structure with a large single-stranded internal bulge. The 6S RNA specifically associates with RNA polymerase holoenzyme containing the sigma70 specificity factor. The record is from RNAcentral. Lineage: Bacteria; Pseudomonadati; Pseudomonadota; Gammaproteobacteria; Pasteurellales; Pasteurellaceae.
CACAACCUGGGGUGUUCGACAAUGGGUUACGUCCACAGGCCGAUACUGAUGUUUUUAGAGUUGGUUACCUACAGUCGGUGAGCAAGCUUGUUAUCAAGCCUAAUGAUUAUGGGACUGACUCCCUUGAACCGUAGGGUUCAAGGACCGAUCACCACACCGGCACCUCGGGCCUUUA